Molecule: long non-coding RNA, 197 nt
Organism: Sinocyclocheilus rhinocerous
Lineage: Eukaryota; Metazoa; Chordata; Actinopteri; Cypriniformes; Cyprinidae
Exons: 3
Source: RefSeq, a predicted model, not a curated record
CCAUACGUCAUAAUCUCUCACUGCAUGACAUGUUCGUCCGGGAGACAUCUCCCGAUGGCAAGAUCUCCUUUUGGACGAUUCGACCGGAAGCAAACCGCUGUCUCACUUUGGACCAGGUCUAUAAGCCUUUGGUUGACCCAGUGACCCCCACUUGCCCUCAGAUCACACAAGUUGGUUUCAAUCAACAACAGAAGAGA